Molecule: long non-coding RNA, 275 nt
Filed under: Mytilus galloprovincialis (Mediterranean mussel)
Lineage: Eukaryota; Metazoa; Mollusca; Bivalvia; Mytilida; Mytilidae
Source: RNAcentral
UUGGUGAACAAAACUAUCGAUCUUAAAUUAGUUUUUUUUAGACAGUUGGUUUCCAUGAGUUCCGUUUGUUGAUAUAUUUCAGCGUUUUUUUGUUGUUUUUUUUUAUUGUUUUGAGGACUUUUCCCAUUUUUUAAUUAACCGGCUUGUAGUCUGGAAUAUAUGUUAUUGCUAUUUUAAAUCACAUAAUACCAUUUUCUCUAUCAAUCAUACACAACAUCUGUUCAGGAUUCAAAUUAUUCUUCAGAAACAGGCAGUAAAAUGCAAGAGACACCAUU